Molecule: long non-coding RNA, 7489 nt
Organism: Osmia bicornis bicornis
Lineage: Eukaryota; Metazoa; Arthropoda; Insecta; Hymenoptera; Megachilidae
Exons: 2
Source: RefSeq, a predicted model, not a curated record
GAAAUGUUAAAUCUUAAUAUAAUUUUGUAUGAAAAUAAUUGUUAUAUUUAUUUAAGACAUUUGUUAAUCAUACAUGAAUAAGGCUCGUGAAUAAAAUUGUAUAAGCCAUGUUUUUGUUAUAUUUAUCGCUAAUUAAUUACUUUUUAAUGAGAUCUGUAUAAUCUUAGAUUAUUUAUACUCACAACAUGUAAUAAACAUCGGUAAAGGAACAACUUUUGUUAUUUUUAUACUAACUUAUUUUAUACUCUUGCUUGCAAUUUUAAUGUUUGUAAAAAUACAAUUAUUUAUUUAUAAAAAAAUAUUUCUGUAACAUCGACAUUCAUGCAUUUCAUACCAAAAAUCUCAUGUCAAAAUGUAUUCCAUUCCUCGGUUUUAUUAUUAAUUUAGUAUGAAAAAAAAAAAUGUACUUAUGCGACCACAUAUGUAUUGACAUGAUAUAUAAUAAAUAAACCUUUGUGUUAUAAAUGUAUGUUUCAUUAAUUUAAAAUGUGCAAAAUUACAAUUUUCCACCAUAUCCUUUUAUUGCAUUAUGUUCCAAAUCAACUACAUAAAAUAUUAAUUCCUAUUGAAAAAAAUUUUUUCCUUACAGUGUUUAAUUUUGCAAUUAAUUAUUAACUGAAUUAUUAUUGUAUCUACUAUGAAACAUUAAUUUCGCGUUUACUUUGUUCUAAAUAAAUAUAAAUACAAAAUUCUUAUUAAAAACUGGUUACCUGAAAUCUUUCUUAGAAGACGAAAGAGGUGUCUUUAUUAGCACUUUUGUUUUCGUUAUUUAGAACUAAACAUUAUCUUUAAAAGAUCUUGGGUGGAAGAAAAUAUCAAGCGUAAUUGGGAUGAGGUAGUUUUUAUGGAUGACAUUUUCUUUCUCGUACAAAUCCUAGAAUUUUUAGACUCUAGGAUUCUAGAAGACAAGAAAACAACGUAUUUUGCGAAUAAACAGUAGAGUUUAUUGCUGAUUAUGUAUGAUUUAAACUAUAAAUAAUAAAUAAUCUAAGGAAUAAUAACUUAAUUUUUUUACUUUCACGAUUCCUCCAUGUUCAUCUCUGGAAGCAUAUGGAGAAACCGUGUCACCGAUUCGAAAUGAAAAAUAAUCUUUUAAGAUUCACUUAAAAUAAUACGAAACCUUCUCUUUUUUAUACAAUACAAUAAUACAUUACGCGCAAUUAUCAUAUAUAUAUGUACAAUUACAUUUAUAAAACGCAAUAUUAUAUUAUUACAACAUUAUGAAACGAUAUUGUGCUCGAUAUCGUUGAAAUAACAUUAUAUUAAUACAAAAAUUAUUUAACAAAAAAAUCACUUACAAUCGAGUUUCGUCUCUCAACUAAAAGGAUCCUUUAACGAAUGUCGAAUUUUUACAAAAUCAUUUUUACCACCACAACGCAGUUUUACAUUUAUGAUUCUCUUGCGAUACCAAAAUCAAAAAUAUCAUCAUACCUGCCAUUCUUUUUUAUGUAUGCUAAUUUAUUUAUCUUUCCAAUUUAUUUUUGAAACCUUUUCAACGUCGGUUAUUCUAAUGUUAAUUCGUCCUCAUUAGUUAAUUUUGACUUUUUAAAAUUAUCCAAACCAUCAGGAGAUUCUACCAAAGUGCCAUUCACAAACUUGUAUCACGUUGAGAAAGGAUUAUUGAACGUGAGUGUACAUAAAGGUGCAAAGUAGUAUAUAUAAAAUAUGUUUAAACUUCUUGGGAUACCUGAUAAGUGUUUCUCAAAAUUUUCACUGUAAUAUGUCGUAAUUUUCUGUUGGGUUUAUGUGACAUUAAACAAGUAUCCUAUUGCUUUUCAAUGGUAGGGUACAUUACGGAUAUUUAACACCCUGAUGACUCUUACAAUCUUUUAUAAAAAGAAAAAACAAAAUUUAUUUUUAGAAUUAUAUGUGGAAGCCUUUGCAAUGUUCGUUGCAAGAUACUGGACAAAAAAUAAUGACAUAAAAAUUAAUUCAUCAAAUUCAUAAGUCUAUCUACCAUCAAAGUGUUAACUUUUUUCAAUUAAAUCAAUUGUUUUUAAUAAAAAAAUUAAAUAAAUGCCUGGCAGUGAAGGUGUUUACAAAUGAAUCGUACGUAGCAAGGUUCAAGUUUCCAACUUAACCUAACCUGACCUAACCUUUACUAAUACAGUUAAUUCAAAGCUUCUGUUAUACGAAAUUCAAUUACUGUGACAUAAUAAAUAAUUAUUUUGACUAUCAUCAGAAGGCAUAGUACCAAAUUGCAAGUAUUUUAGAAAACAAAGUAAUUUUGUUACGGUAGAAACUUAUACCUUGCUAUUUACAAUAGUAUCUUCCAAAUUAAACAUUAUCCAUCGCGUUUCUUUGUUAGUUAACAAAAGUCCCUCAACAACCUAUGGAGUACAACGAUACUCUUUCAGUAUUAAACAUUUCGAAAUUCUAUUGCUGAUGAAGUAAACGAACGAUUGAUUAUCGAUCAUCCCAUAAAUCAGUCUAGCUUUAUACGUUCUUAGCAGAGUUGGGCAUGAUUUCAAUAAUUCUCUAAUAAAACGAAGUUAUUAAAAUAACUUGGUUUUAUUUCACAUUUUUAUUUGAGAAUCAUUUCAAUAAAAAAGAUUAUGCGAAAAUUAUUCAAGUAAUACCCAACCCUGGUUCUUAGCAACUAUGUAUGCAAUACUAUUUCAACAAUACAGUCUGUAAUGCGUAAAAAUGUAGAAAUUUGAUUGUCAACCGGUUUAGAAAUUGUCCUUUUGUAAUCUAUCUGUUACAGAACCGGAGUCUCUGAAUUUAUGCGCAUUAUUGAUCUAUCAUUUUAUAGAAAAGCAACCAGAAAUAGCACUUCUUUGAAAUGGACAUUUUCCAUGUAACGCCGAAGAAGCCUCCCCACUCUCACUGACUCUUGCCCAGGGCAAGAAUACACGGAGUUCAAACGAUUCCAGUCAAACUUCCCUUGAUUAGUGGUCGAUUCCACGCAGUUUGGACAAUGUGUUUGCCAUUUGUUUGAGUCCUAAAUUAUAGUUCACGAAAUUAUAGAAAUAUUCGCCAAAAAAAUCGGAAACCUUGUAAAGUUGACCACUAAUCAAAGGGAGUUCGGCUAUAAUCGUUUGAGUCCGAUGUACCACGAGCCCGUAACAGUGCCCGCGAGCAAGUACGGGCACAGGUGGGCGCCCACGACCAGCUUACUACUCGAGCAUCCCUGGUCUAGGUAAUUAUCUAAGUCAUUUCAAAACUCAUUCACUGAAGAUUUUUAAACGAACGCAUUAAUUCUAAUUACAAUGAGGAGAGACGAAUAAGACACCCUGCAUGCCGAAUCGAUUAAAUUCCAUAGUGUUCUGCGACGAAAAGUUAAAUAAGGAAUCGCAGUGUUUCUUGUUAACAAUUCAAAUACAAAUGUAAAAUUAUCGAGCUAACCGAUAUCAAAGUUCCAUGAUAUCAUCGCGACAACAUAUUGGCUGAUAAGAGAGUAUUCUUAAUACUUAUGGAUUAAUAUAUCGAUAAAUAUUGCAUUAUUAGAUAAAAUAAGAUUCUUGUACUUUUUAAGAUUCUCAUUCGUUUCGAUGAGAGAAAUAUUAUCCAAAUUGUAAAAAGAUGGAAGACGAUUGGGACGUUUAGAAAUACUUUAUGGACGUAUAAAACUUGCAGGAGUAAACGUGAAUAGAAAUUCACGAAUUGCGAAUAACCCAAUAGGAACGCGCAGUUAUGUACGUAAGUUGUACACGAAGAAUGAGAUACAAAUACAAUAGGAAACGCAUGGAAAGAUAGCGGAUAUAAUGGCAUUCUUAAAAUGAUUGAAUUUCGAUGGUAGCCACACAAUGAGAAUAUUGCGAGGAGAAAUUCGUUAUAGAAAAUAUAGAGAAUACUAUUGAAGACUAGUCGCGAAUAUUGUUUGAACAAAUUGUCAUCAGAAUCAUUAACCUGAAUUAUAUAGAAAAGGGGGUAGUAAUAUCGACCACCAUAAUUCUGAGAUUUACAACAGGGUGUUUUUAGUAAUUGGGACGGGUUAUAUGUUUAAAAAAAAAAAAAUAGAAAAAAAAAUUAAAUAGUAUAAGCAACUAUACUCCAUCCAACGAGGCGAGACAAUAAAGGAGUACAAAUUCACGUGCUCGAAGCAGGACCACCCCACAGUACACAAACCUCGACCGAGACGUUUGAAGAACCGGAAACAUAUUCUGACUCGUCUCGUUGGACGGAUUAUAUACUUUUCUACAAUUGCAACUUUUCUUUAUAAGUGCAACGAUGCAUGUAUAAAAAUGCAAUUACACCCUACUUUUAACUCACAAAGGCUUUCAUGAAAAUGCAAUUUCAUUAAAGAAAAAAAUUCUAUAUACUCUUAAUUAGUGUGAUGUAAUGCAAUACGAUAUCUAUCUUUUUAAAAUAUAGGCGUAUCAAUACUUUUUAAGCCCAUUGUAUAUAUGAUUAUUAUGAAAAUAACUAAAUAAAUUAACUUUCACAACUUACUUUGUUCUAAAAUAAUACUGACCCAUAUUACUCUCCGAUUUCAAGAUUGUUAAUCCUUGACUUUUCUAAAAUAAAAGAAAAAACAGAAAAUUCGUCAUUUCUAUGAAAUUGAUAUACGUCAAAAAAUGAAACUAAUAUUCCAUAUUACUACCACCUUCUCUAUUGUUCAAACUUGAUCACCGAUCUCUGCUACUACGUAAUAUAUCACCAUAAACGCUUCAAUGAUCAUUAAUAAUUAAUGCUUGAUCUGUUAUCGUGCACCACUAGGCGUGCUAGUUUAAAAAUAUUUCUGCGGCUGUUUCGAGUGAACAGAAUUUGCGAACUUUCAUAGCUAAAAAUGAUUUUUCCAAGCUAAAAUUGCAAGUUGAUUCACGAAAUAACAUUCGUGAAUCAAAAUAAUCAUAAUUAGCUUUUAUUUCUAUCUUCAAUUCCUUUUGUAAAGAAUCUUUUAUUCUUAAUGAUCGCGUUUAAAAUCAAGGAAUUAUUCUAAACUUGGAAAAUAAUGGAGAGAAAGAAAGUAGUAAAAUUAUUUUCUUUAAAGUUGGAAACAAAUGAGCUUAAAUUAUCUCAUUAAAUGAUACAAAUUCUUCUUCAUUCGAAUUCCAUUCACUCGAAGUAAAGGACGAAUAUUGCACACCUUUUGCUUUUUUGUGUAUUUGCACGCACCAGUGUUAUGUAUAUACAAUCCAUCAAAAAAGUCUCUGCAUUUGGUUAAAAAAUAUUUAACAUUAUAGAAUUUCUGCACAAAAUAAUAUUUACAUAAUACUUAAAUUAAAAGGGAGGAAAAGUCACUUAUUACAGUCACAUAAUAAUCUUAUCAAAAAAUCUAUCUCCUGUUUUAAAUAUCAUCACGACAAAAAAUUUUGAUUACGAUAAUUCUAAAUCGAUAACACUAAUGUACAGUACCGAGCAUGGUAGGUUUCUCUAGGGAAAAUGACAAUUACCCCUUUCCUCGUACAUCUCUCCGAGUUUACGGGUUCCGGGGUUCCCGAUCCACCUCAAAGGCUCUCCCUCACCCCGAACACCCAUCUGUCCUCUAACGCCAUUUUUCGUUAAAACUUUAUCGAACCAUACAGAAAUUUUUUCGAUGGAUUGUAAUUAUUGAAUGGUUUGGAACCACGUGCUUAUGAAAAAUAUUUAAAAAGUGCGUGGUUAAUUAUAUAUAUAUAAUAUAUAUAUAUAUAUAUAUAUAACAUUUAUGUAUGUAUAUAAGUAUUGCCGAAAAUAUGAGUUUCAUACUAUAUAUGUAUAUGUAUAAUUAAUAAUGUAGAAGGAUUGUGAAAUUGAUAUGUUAUCGAAGCAGUAAUAUUAUACGUAUCACAGUGCUGUGAUUGAGAAUUAUAAUAAAUAUUAUUCUGUUCUCUCUCCAUCUCUGAUACUGUUUCUUUUUUUACAGUUUCGCUUCGCCCUCGACCUAUCUUAAUUUCUGUUGAAUUUUGAUAUCAGCUAUUCAUUUCUUAUUUACCUGACAAAAGUUUUCACAAACGCGUUGAAACUGAGAGAGAAGACGUAAAGAAUUCGCUUUUCAACUCUUCAUGUAUGAAUCUUACGCGUUAUACAUCGUUUUUUUUUUUUUUUAAUGUAAGGUGAAUUAUAAAGUAGUGGUCAAAUGAAACUUUUAUUCAUUCCGUCAAACGUAGAUUUCUGAUCAUUUAUGUACAUUAAUUUUCAAUUAAAAAAAAAAUAAUACAUGUCACUCUUAUGACACUGCACUUUGUGCAAUGAUAUUUUUAAAUUACACUAAUCUUUCGCUAUUUUUUAUGUACAGUAGUUGACACUAAAGAAGAUCAAGAAAAUUGUUGUUUCACUGAAAUAAUUUCAUUUUUUAACAAAUUAAUACAUCGCUUUUUGUUUCAAAUUUUUGUAAUAGUACGAAAUGUACAAGAAAUGCCUCUUAUAAAAUUUCUAACGCGUAUCAAAAUAUAUUUAAAGCUAUAAAUAACAAUUUUACACACUUCACCCUACACGUGUAUAACGUCCAAGAUUCACAUAUGUAUGUUAUACAUAUGUAUAUAGAUAUAAUAUAUAAUAUAUUAUCCGUAUCUUUCCUAUUUCUUAAAAGAAUAAGAAUUAAAUAUCCAUUCCCGAAAAAUAUUUCGUUCUAUUAAUUCAUUAGUAAAUUCCUAAUUAUAAUUUCUAGAUUGUCCAUAGUUGCUUUUUAAAACCUAUCUAUAUACCCUGGGUACGAAACACAAUAAAUUCCUUGUUGAUCAGCUGCCAAGAGUGCUUGGCACAUUUUGACUCGUCUACGUUUCUUUUCUCUUUUUUAAUUAUUUUUUGCGAAAUUCGUACCGAUGAUUUCGCAGCGUAUCAAAAAAUGUAUACAUCUACACAUACCCUCCCGUACGAAUAAAUUUAAUCGUAAUCCUUAUGAAUUAGCAUAGUAUCCCUUUAAUUUUUGGUCUCACUUUGAAUAACUUACGCCUAAAUAUUGUCUCGUUAGAAAACUAAAUUUUCUGUUUCACAAAAGAAGUAACAUUUCACUUUCCUUUCCUUUGUCCUUCGCUCUCUCAUCUCACGCUUUAAAAUACGGACAAGUAUAUUUUUUAACCCGCGACGUUCAUAGGAGUUUUGCGUAAGCAACGACAAUUCCUUGAAAUACAUUAGAAGAAAUGAUACGUUUGAAGUAUCUUAAGAUUUCUCACGAAAUUUGUAUCUACAUUCAAACACUGUGAACGAUAGGAAAAUAAAAUUUGACUUUUUAGAUUACACGAGCAAGAAACAUGAAAAAUAAAUGUUCUGAAUGUAGAUACACAGCGGUACGGUAUUCGCGUUUUAAAUACAUUUCCUCGAGGACUGCACUUGCAAAGCGCCAUUGAAAAACACGAUCGUAGAAAUAAUUCAAACCUUAAGAAGUAAAAAAAAGCAGUAACGCGCAUCGUUACAUGUUAUUCUGUUACAAGCGUUUAAUAUCAGGUUAGUCUGUGUCGCUGUUAUCUACUCCUAUCAUCGUUCUUAAAUAUUUACAAAAUUCUGCGAUGGCGACAACACGAGCCAUCCGUUUAUCAAUUCCGUAUUUCACAAUUUGUUUCAAUCUAAAGAUAAUUAAGAAAAAAAAAAAAAAAAAAAACGUUAACCCCUCAAACCGACUACC